AAUUUGUAAAACAUUUGUAUUCCCUCCUGUACUGCAGUAGAAGGAAUGCGUCAACUGCCACUUUUUAAGAAAUAUAAUACACUUCCUCCUACUUUGGGUUUGAAAUUGGAACCAAAACAAAUUUGCUGCAGAAAAAACUGAUCUUAAAGGUCCUGGCAGGAGGUAAAGUCUGGAAGUGAGCUCACUCCUUGCUGCCAUUAUCCCUUCAUGGGAAUCUAGAUGUGCCAUUCUAUAUCCUGCAUCCUCUGCUCCUUUUCAGAAAACCAGAAAGCUGAAUGACAUCACAAAAUGCACAAAGUGCACAACCAGCCAAGACUCCUGGGUUUAUCACAUGGAAUGCAAGUGGGAGCAUGAGGGGAAACAGCAGAAAACACAACAUCAAGAAGGUUUGGAAGACAUGCCAAAGUGAAAAUGGUAGCCCAGGUGCAAAGCCAAAGCCACUAACAGCAUCCCACAAGAAAGCAGAUCAAGAAAUAGGGCUUUGAUCAAGAGAAUACUGGGAGGAGUGGUUUCCUGCUGUGGGAAGUGGGACCUGCAUCACAGUUACACUUGCUGGAGUUACAUCUGGACAGAUGGUGAGAACACAGCCAGAAGGAGAAACCUCUGGGUUUCCAAUAAAGCCUCUCUUCACUUUCAUGCCUUCACAAGUCUGUCAAUCCACAAAGCUGUCUGGAAGAAAGAGACAGGGAAGAGCUAUGUGCUUCAGUAGUAAAUGACCAACAGGUAAAGAGACACAGAAAAUUCAAAUCUGUACAAAUCAAAUGCUUUUGCCUAGACUACAAAAUGCACUCAGAUGUAUGUCUCCAUGUUUAACUGAUUCACCUUCAAACCCUCCAGAGAAACUUCAUGAGCUGAGGCAGGGGGCCAGGAAACUCCAGGGGUAAUUCUGGCCAUCCUGACAGAUGCUGCUCUGAGAAGUGUCUCAUUCAUCCAGGUAUUUCACAUGAAACUCAAAUGAGCUCACACUUUUCAGCAAUGAGUCACACACUCAUUUGGCAAAUACAAAGACUUCAGAGUCCCUCUCCCUCAUUCCCAGAUGCUGGAAAGUCACAAUUCUUUGAGUGUGAUGUCAGGAGGUGUUGCCAUGAAAACCCUUUUAAAAUCAUAAGCACUAAAUUGUAACUCCUUUUGCAUGGUAAAGGAUCACACAGGGGGUACUGCGGUUUGGAGGAAGAUAUCUUAUAAUUAGUGAUAAUAACAAAGGAAAUAUCCAUAAUUACAUCAAAGAAGUCUUCACUGAGUAUUGUUUUUACUUACUUCCAGAGGGAACACAUAAUUCUCUGAAAAAACAUGACUGUUUUAAGCAGAUGUAGAUAAAUAAAAAAGUGCUAUCAAGAGAAUCAAACUUCAAACUGAAGCCGGAAAAAUACUUCAAAAUGCACAAGAGGUUAUCUAAUCAAUCAGCUUAAAGGCCAGUCGUCAGCUCUCCGCCAACAGGCAGAGCUGCUAUGUCUGCAGUGUGUGCGCAUCUUUUCAGAUGAACACGGCACACUACAGCAUAUCCUGGGUGCGUGUAUCUGCAUACAGGAGGCACAGUCUGGGGAUUCAUUUCAUCCAGCCACACAAACAGGACUAAUUUUGUAAAGUGCAGAUAGCUAAAAAUAGCCAAGAGUGAAGUUAUGCAAUAAAACCUGGUGUACGUUUUCCCUUUCCAGAUGAGAGAAUCUGACAUAGUUUCAAAUAGAGAAUAAAUAAAUAAAUAAAUAAAGGCGAUGGUCUGAUCAGUGUAUAAACUAUAUUCAUUUCAUUCCCUUCUGCAGAGAAGGAAUUUGAAUCUCCUAUACAUUAAAGAUGCAUGCCCACUGUCAUAUCAUUUCAGCGACUUAAAUAGUAAAUGAUCAAAAAUUCACAGUGCUUCUGCCCUCCUCUGGAAAAAAAAUAGGUCAAAAAUGAAUGGAAACAAACUGUCUUCUGCUCCUUUUUUAUGCAUUUGAGAGAGGAAAAAACAAGGGAGAUAAAUCUGCAUAAUACUGAACCGAAUCUCUUUAAUUCCAGUCAGCUUUUAUCAUUCAAUCACUGAGUCUGUAUGUGGAAAAAUUCAUGCUAAUUCCCCCUAGCAACAGCCUCAGCCUAUCAGGACAAGCCAUGCACCAUGCAGCUGCCAGCCAGCAAGAAUAACUCUAAGUAGGUCAGGCCUGCAUUUCUAAAAAUGCCACGGUCUAGUAACCCCACUGUCCCGUCUGUCUGCCCUGCCCCAUAAUAACCUCAAUUGCUUGGUGACACAAUGACAUACUGCCCUGUUAGAGCGCAAUCAAAUCACGCUGCAUUAUUCUGCUGCGAGCAUCACUGCUGGAAGAAGGAGCCGUCGAGGGGCAGCAUUAAUCAGGCGGCCAUUCAUGUCCACCGGCACUUCACUCUGGAGAUGGGGCCUGCAUUAAUGACCAGCUGUUGGAAGGAACACAAACAAAGUAACGCCUUCCACCCUGCCGGCUGUGCAGAAUACGCCAUUCUGUUCAGGCAGGUUGCACUCAUUGACAGAGGCCGCGAUGUAAAUUAAACAGCCCCAGACAAUGCCGGCUUUUGUAAGCUCCUACUAAUUAAA
This is a long non-coding RNA of Gallus gallus (chicken), 2542 nucleotides long. NCBI's taxonomy places the organism in Eukaryota, Metazoa, Chordata, Aves, Galliformes, Phasianidae. The record is from Ensembl.